RNAcentral lists this ribosomal RNA (475 nucleotides) under uncultured bacterium. Its description in RNAcentral is "bacterial SSU rRNA". It matches the Rfam family "Bacterial small subunit ribosomal RNA", at positions 30 to 504 of the family's 1533-position model. The record is from RNAcentral.
CGAACGCUGGCGGCGGGCUUAACACAUGCAAGUCGAACGAGAACUCCGAGCUUGCUUGGAGGGAAAGUGGCGCACGGGUGAGUAACGCGUAGGCAAUCUGCCCCCAACUGAGGAAUAACCCAUCGAAAGGUGGGCUAAUACCACAUAACGACAGACUACCGCAUGGUGGACUGUUCAAAGUUCAGGCGGUUGGGGAUGAGCCUGCGUCGGAUUAGCUAGUUGGCGGGGUAAUGGCCCACCAAGGCGACGAUCCGUAGCGGGUCUGAGAGGAUGAUCCGCCACACUGGCACUGAGACACGGGCCAGACUCCUACGGGAGGCAGCAGUGAGGAAUAUUGCGCAAUGGAGGAAACUCUGACGCAGCCACGCCGCGUGCAGGAAGACACCCCUCAGGGGCGUAAACUGCUUUUGUACGAGAAGAACACCUCCUUCUGGGAGGUCUGACGGUAUCGUACGAAUAAGGACCGGCUAACUCC